AAGCGGUGGAGGAUGUGGUUUAAUUCGAUGCAACGCGAAAACCUUCCCACCUUUGACAUGUACGGAACCCUUUAGAGAUAGAGGGGUGCUCGAAAGAGAGCCGUAACACAGGUGCUGCAUGGCUGUCGUCAGCUCGUGUCGUGAGAUGUUGGGUUAAGUCCCCGCAACGAGCGCAACCCUUGUCAUUAGUUGCUACAUUCAGUUGGGCACUCUAAUGAGACUGCCCCGGACAACGGGAGGAAGGUGGGGAUGACGUCAAGUCCGCAUGCUCCUUACGUCUAGGGCUACACACGUCCUACAAUGGGGUCGACAGUGGGAUGCAAAGCCGCGAGGUGGAGCCAAUCCCCAAACGGCCUCUCAGUUCGGAUAGUAGUCUGCAACUCGACUACUUGAAGUCGGAAUCGCUAGUAAUGGCGGAUCAGCAUGCCGCCGUGAAUACGUUCCCGGGUCUU
RNAcentral lists this ribosomal RNA (452 nucleotides) under uncultured Rhodoferax sp. RNAcentral's name for it is "bacterial SSU rRNA". It matches the Rfam family "Bacterial small subunit ribosomal RNA", at positions 927 to 1382 of the family's 1533-position model. The record is from RNAcentral. Lineage: Bacteria; Pseudomonadati; Pseudomonadota; Betaproteobacteria; Burkholderiales; Comamonadaceae.